Molecule: Y RNA, 112 nt
Filed under: Carlito syrichta (Philippine tarsier)
Lineage: Eukaryota; Metazoa; Chordata; Mammalia; Primates; Tarsiidae
Description: Y RNA (ENSTSYG00000034465.1)
Rfam family: Y RNA
About the family: Y RNAs are components of the Ro ribonucleoprotein particle (Ro RNP), in association with Ro60 and La proteins. The Y RNAs and Ro60 and La proteins are well conserved, but the function of the Ro RNP is not known.
Source: Rfam by way of RNAcentral
GGCUGGUCCAAGGUUGUUAGUUAUCUCAAUUGACUGUUCACAGUCAGUUACAGAUUGAACUCAUCGUUCUAUUCUCUCCCCACUUCUCACUACUGCACUUGACUGGUCUUAA